This 540-nucleotide ribosomal RNA is filed under the name uncultured Pezizaceae. Its description in RNAcentral is "eukaryotic LSU rRNA". The stretch from base 219 to 372 matches the Rfam family "5.8S ribosomal RNA". Lineage: Eukaryota; Fungi; Ascomycota; Pezizomycetes; Pezizales; Pezizaceae. The record is from RNAcentral.
AGGUGAACCUGCGGAAGGAUCAUUAAUGAAAAAAACUUCUCGAAUAGUUUUUUUUAAUCCCAUUGUCUACUUACCAUGUUGCUUCCACUGGACCUUAUUUAUGUAAGACCUUUGGCUUGUGUGAAUAAACUCAAGUCAGAGAGUUGCCAGUGGCAGGACUAUUUACUAAAACUUGAUUUAAAAACACAUUGUCUGAAUCUUUUGCUUCAAUAUAAUAAAACUUUCAACAACGGAUCUCUAGGCUCUUGCAUCGAUGAAGAACGCAGUGAAAUGCGAUAAGUAAUGUGAAUUGCAGAAUCUCGUGAAUCAUCGAAUCUUUGAACGCACAUUGCGCCCUAUGGUAUUCCGUAGGGCAUGCCUGUCUGAGAGUCAGCUCCCACCCACUCAGGUAUCUGUUUAUCGGAUGCUUGGAAUGCUUUGGAGAGGCGUCUUAUUAUAGAAACGCCCCCCAGAAAUUAAUAGGCAGUAUGGUUUGCACCUGAACCAGAGACGUAAUAAUAAUAAAAUCGUUUUGUUUAGGUAUAAUUGUGCUUGCCUCAA